This is a non-coding RNA of Coturnix japonica (Japanese quail), 247 nucleotides long. NCBI's taxonomy places the organism in Eukaryota, Metazoa, Chordata, Aves, Galliformes, Phasianidae. The record is from RefSeq and is a predicted model, not a curated record.
AUGGUGUCCUAUGGGGAGAUCUACCACUGCGGGGGGGCAGGGCUCGGGCUGGCCGCGGGCUCCCUGCUGUGGGGCAGCCGUUACGCUCUGGACCCCGAGCUCCGUGGGGCGGAGUUUGAGCGUCUGACGCAGCGACUGGACGUGGGGUUUUGGAAAAGCUUCUGGAACCUGACGGAGAGUCAGCUGCUGGCUUCAGUAGCAGCGGCCGCGUCCCCCCGAUGGGGCUGUUAGGCGUCCUGGCGCUGCC